ACACAUGCAAGUCGAGGGGCAGCAUAAUGGAUAGCAAUAUCUAUGGUGGCGACCGGCGCACGGGUGCGUAACGCGUAUGCAACCUACCUUUAACAGGGGGAUAACACUGAGAAAUUGGUACUAAUACCCCAUAAUAUCAUAGAAGGCAUCUUUUAUGGUUGAAAAUUCCGAUGGUUAGAGAUGGGCAUGCGUUGUAUUAGCUAGUUGGUGGGGUAACGGCUCACCAAGGCGACGAUACAUAGGGGGACUGAGAGGUUAACCCCCCACACUGGUACUGAGACACGGACCAGACUCCUACGGGAGGCAGCAGUGAGGAAUAUUGGUCAAUGGACGCAAGUCUGAACCAGCCAUGCCGCGUGCAGGAUGACGGCUCUAUGAGUUGUAAACUGCUUUUGUACGAGGGUAAACGCAGAUACGUGUAUCUGUCUGAAAGUAUCGUACGAAUAAGGAUCGGCUAACUCCGUGCCAGCAGCCGCGGUAAUACGGAGGAUUCAAGCGUUAUCCGGAUUUAUUGGGUUUAAAGGGUGCGUAGGCGGUUUGAUAAGUUAGAGGUGAAAUUUCGGGGCUCAACCCUGAACGUGCCUCUAAUACUGUUGAGCUAGAGAGUAGUUGCGGUAGGCGGAAUGUAUGGUGUAGCGGUGAAAUGCUUAGAGAUCAUACAGAACACCGAUUGCGAAGGCAGCUUACCAAACUAUAUCUGACGUUGAGGCACGAAAGCGUGGGGAGCAAACAGGAUUAGAUACCCUGGUAGUCCACGCAGUAAACGAUGAUAACUCGUUGUCGGCGAUACACAGUCGGUGACUAAGCGAAAGCGAUAAGUUAUCCACCUGGGGAGUACGUUCGCAAGAAUGAAACUCAAAGGAAUUGACGGGG
RNAcentral lists this ribosomal RNA (873 nucleotides) under uncultured bacterium. RNAcentral describes it as "bacterial SSU rRNA". It matches the Rfam family "Bacterial small subunit ribosomal RNA", at positions 51 to 918 of the family's 1533-position model. The record is from RNAcentral.